CCUACGGGAGGCAGCAGUAGGGAAUAUUGGGCAAUGGAGGCAACUCUGACCCAGCCAUGCCGCGUGCAGGAAGAAGGCGUUAUGCGUUGUAAACUGCUUUUAUAUAGGAAGAAAUAGACCUUGCGAGGUAAGUUGACGGUACUAUAUGAAUAAGCACCGGCUAACUCCGUGCCAGCAGCCGCGGUAAUACGGAGGGUGCAAGCGUUGUCCGGAUUUAUUGGGUUUAAAGGGUGCGUAGGCGGUUUAUUAAGUCAGUGGUGAAAGACGGUCGCUCAACGAUUGCAGUGCCAUUGAUACUGGUAGACUUGAGUGGGAUUGAGGUAGCUGGAAUGGAUAGUGUAGCGGUGAAAUGCAUAGAUAUUAUCCAGAACACCAAUUGCGUAGGCAAGUUACUAAGUCUCAACUGACGCUGAGGCACGAAAGUGUGGGUAUCAAACAGGAUUAGAUACCCUGGUAGUCCACACUGUAAACGAUGAUAACUAACUGUUGGCUUUCGGGUCAGUGGUACAGAGAAAUCGUUAAGUUAUCCACCUGGGGAGUACGCCGGCAACGGUGAAACGUCGAAAGGAAUUGACGG
Molecule: ribosomal RNA, 577 nt
Filed under: uncultured bacterium
Lineage: Bacteria
Description: bacterial SSU rRNA
Rfam family: Bacterial small subunit ribosomal RNA
Source: RNAcentral